UUUUAUGGAGAGUUUGAUCCUGGCUCAGGAUGAACGCUGGCGGCGUGCCUAAUACAUGCAAGUCGAGCGAACGGACGAGAAGCUUGCUUCUCUGAUGUUAGCGGCGGACGGGUGAGUAACACGUGGAUAACCUACCUAUAAGACUGGGAUAACUUCGGGAAACCGGAGCUAAUACCGGAUAAUAUUUUGAACCGCAUGGUUCAAAAGUGAAAGACGGUCUUGCUGUCACUUAUAGAUGGAUCCGCGCUGCAUUAGCUAGUUGGUAAGGUAACGGCUUACCAAGGCAACGAAGCAU
RNAcentral lists this ribosomal RNA (295 nucleotides) under Staphylococcus aureus. Its description in RNAcentral is "partial 16S ribosomal RNA". It matches the Rfam family "Bacterial small subunit ribosomal RNA", at positions 1 to 284 of the family's 1533-position model. Lineage: Bacteria; Bacillati; Bacillota; Bacilli; Caryophanales; Staphylococcaceae. The record is from RNAcentral.